AUGUCUGUAAUGCAGUAUCAUAGCCAAUGAGGUUAAUCUGAGGCGUGAUUAUUGCUAGUUGAAAACUUUUCCCAAUACCCUGCCAUGAACUGUAAUGCUGAGAACCAGGGACCACACAUGAAAUGAUUGGCAACUGCUUCCCCAG
RNAcentral lists this small nuclear RNA (145 nucleotides) under Chrysemys picta bellii (western painted turtle). Its description in RNAcentral is "U4 spliceosomal RNA (ENSCPBG00000021759.1)". It matches the Rfam family "U4 spliceosomal RNA", at positions 15 to 138 of the family's 138-position model. From Rfam's summary of the family: U4 small nuclear RNA (U4 snRNA) is a component of the major U2-dependent spliceosome. Lineage: Eukaryota; Metazoa; Chordata; Testudines; Emydidae. The record is from Rfam by way of RNAcentral.